GGAAGUGGGGCCUUGGGACCUUCCAUUAGUUGCUUUAGCCCGUUACUAUGACAACACAUCUGAGAAAAGCAACUCAAGAAAGGUUUAUCCUCCCUCAACGAUCCACGUGCAUCCCUCCCGAAGCUGUGCACUCGGCCAAAGAGGACAACCUUCCCAAUAGAGAAGGACCGGCCUUCGGUCAAGGUCUAUGAAUAGCUGCGCUCCCCUGCUAGAACCUCCAAACCAGCUCUCAAGAAAGGUUUAUCUGGCUCACAGUUGGAGGACGCAGUCCGUCAUGGUG
RNAcentral lists this small nuclear RNA (280 nucleotides) under Nannospalax galili (Upper Galilee mountains blind mole rat). RNAcentral's name for it is "7SK RNA (ENSNGAG00000005272.1)". It matches the Rfam family "7SK RNA", at positions 1 to 252 of the family's 331-position model. Rfam says of the family: 7SK was discovered as an abundant small nuclear RNA in the mid-70s but a possible function has only recently been suggested. Two independent studies have found that 7SK RNA binds the CDK9/cyclin T complex (known as elongation factor P-TEFb). Lineage: Eukaryota; Metazoa; Chordata; Mammalia; Rodentia; Spalacidae. The record is from RNAcentral.